Molecule: unclassified non-coding RNA, 233 nt
Filed under: Hevea brasiliensis (rubber tree)
Lineage: Eukaryota; Viridiplantae; Streptophyta; Magnoliopsida; Malpighiales; Euphorbiaceae
Source: RNAcentral
GAUUGUAGUUUAUAUUCAUCAGUCCCUUGAAUCUUCUGACUAGAGCAAGAAAUGGCAAAUGGAGAUACAUUCAUUGGAAUGAAGAAAGGCAUCCUAACUCAAAAGCUACCCCAUACACAUCAGAAGAAACCAAAGAAUAGACACACAGAACACUCAAGAAGCUGAAAGACUUCAACUUUGGUGGAGAUAAUUAAAGCUGGAGAUGAAAAUUGACAGAGAACAAGAGUGGCAGG